GCUAGUACUGUUUUAUGCACCUGCAUGUCCA
RNAcentral lists this non-coding RNA (31 nucleotides) under Rattus norvegicus (Norway rat). Lineage: Eukaryota; Metazoa; Chordata; Mammalia; Rodentia; Muridae. The record is from RNAcentral.